Pimephales promelas (fathead minnow) is the source of this 618-nucleotide non-coding RNA. Lineage: Eukaryota; Metazoa; Chordata; Actinopteri; Cypriniformes; Leuciscidae. The record is from RefSeq and is a predicted model, not a curated record.
CCGCUGCCUGCCCUGCUCAGCUUAACCUACUGAAGUCCAGCUCAUCCAUCAAAAAAGUGUUUUCCACCGAGUAGCGCUUCACCCUCAGAUCCAGCAGUGGCGCUCAUGCAGCUUUUAGAUGGUUUGGCAGCCGCCAUUUAAACAACAACAGAAGAAGAAGAAGAAGAAGAAUGUUUCUGCCGCGGGGAAUCAUCAUGUCCCUGAACCCGGGCCCGGACUCCCUGCAGCGGGGUCCGAAGAGAAGCAGGUACCGCCGCGGCGAUCAUCAGUGAAGCGACACAAACACACACAGCCAGUCGUUUAAAACCGACCCGCAACUUUAACAGGAUUCUUUGGAAAAGAUCUGUAACCCAAUACUGUCUGAAGAGGCAAAAUAUCCAAAUCUGGGAGAAAAACCCGGCGGUUUUUAAUUUCGGGUAGUUGAGGGAUCUAAACCUCUAGAGGAGAUCCAGACACUGAAGAUGCAGAUCAAACCUAAUGGGAGAUUCACUAGGGCUGGGCUGAGAGAGAGAGCUGACGAAACGAGCAGGGCGCGUCCCAAACCAGUCCAGUCCAGUCGAUGAGUAACGUGUGUUUAUACGCGUCACCAUCACACUAGCACUCAACAGUUUAGGGUCA